GGAAUAUUAUGCUAAGGAGAAAAGCUUCUAACUUUUUACCAAGCGGUUAAAUUCCGUUUAUAUUCCU
Molecule: transfer RNA, 67 nt
Filed under: Cleistostoma dilatatum
Lineage: Eukaryota; Metazoa; Arthropoda; Malacostraca; Decapoda; Camptandriidae
Description: tRNA-Ser
Source: RNAcentral